This is a long non-coding RNA of Carassius auratus (goldfish), 1453 nucleotides long. RefSeq lists it as uncharacterized. The transcript has 4 exons. NCBI's taxonomy places the organism in Eukaryota, Metazoa, Chordata, Actinopteri, Cypriniformes, Cyprinidae. The record is from RefSeq and is a predicted model, not a curated record.
UUCAUACAGUGGUAUUGUUUUUGGAGUUAAUAAUUUAUUAAAACUAAGGCGUAAAGUAAGCAACAUAUAAGCAAAAAAAGACGCUAUCCCCAGGUAUCACAGGCUCAGUCUGUCUGUGACCUACAUAAUAUAGCAUAUUUGUGAUUUAGCUGUAAACAUGUUUUAUAAUGCAUAAAUAACAGGGGAGCUCCAUUAAGUACACGACUCAAUAGUAGAUUUACAUAAACUAUAUAUACUUCUUGAAGACUAGUACUAAAAUGUCUAUUUAUCAUCUGACUGGAUAAUGUUUGAUAAGUAUUGUAGAUGAGCACAUCCAACAGACAUGAAACAGGUGUCUGAGUGAUAUGUGUGUGUGAUAUUGUGUAGAAUUCACUUUUGUCAACACUGCUAUAGAUGAAUGGACAGAUGAGACACAUGUGUGUUUAUCUGCUGUAGAGUAACUGAUGAAGGAAUGCUACCAUCAAAGGAUUUGUAUCUUUUGUGGUGGAGCAGGACCUGCAAGGAAAGGUGAAAAAGAGGGAAAACCUGAAACAAAAGAAUAAUGUAAUGACUUUUUGUAUUGUGUAUUUUUGUAGGACAUGAACAUGUCUGUAGACUGGUGUGUGCACUGAGGAUGGAGAAGACCACAGCAUCAUCCUGGAAAUGAUCGAGAGUCACAGAUGAGAUGCUCCAUCACUCCAGCUCUUACCGUCUCAUCAGGACCAGAUGCUGCUGUGGUGUCUUCAUCCUCAGUGACCCCAGAGCCAGUGAGAGCAUCUAGAGAAAGACCACAAGACACUGAGGAUGUGAUUUUGGUAAUGUUUGUUCAGCUGGUUAAUGUUUAAACAAUGAAGGCUGACUUUCAGAAGCUUCAAAAGCAUCAUCAAAAAAUGUGAUGGAGCUUUUAUCUGAAGUGAUUGACAGUGCUCUUAUAACAGGGGCCUACAAUCCCCUGAUCAACCUGGAGAAGAGAGCCUUGCUCAAGGACACACUGGUGUUCCUGUGGCUCAAGGGGUAGAGCAUUGCGUUAGCAGUGCAAGGUUGUGGGUUCGAAUACCAGGGAACACAUGUUAGGUAGUCGUGCUCAUGGGGUGCAGGCACACGAAAGUUUGGAGCAGACACAGCAGUCAGAUUGUCCUGCACGUGUUCCCCUGCUCUAGCUUCAAGGUUGUGUGGUUCAGAGAGCCGUCAUCAAGGUCUUCCUCAUCCUGUUGCUCAACGACAUCCCCAUUGAGAAGAGUGCGAUUGUGAAGUGCAGCGGCAGAACUGUAUCAGCUGUGUUCAGAUGGCAGGAGGAUGUUGGGUUCACCAUCUGUAAAUACUUGAUUGUUAGAACAAUAAGUUUGAAUGAAGCUUUGUAUCAUGUGUUGUUGACUUGUGCAUGUAUGCAUUUAUUGUGAUGCUAACUUUUAUACAUUAUUUUAAUCAUUUAGACAUAUUUUUGGUUGUCAGUAAAUAAAAUAUAAAUAUUUUA